GCUGCGGUAGCUCAGUGGUAGAGCACUCCCUUGGUAAGGGAGGGGCCAAACUGUAACCGCGCA
This 63-nucleotide transfer RNA is filed under the name Mesorhizobium sp. WSM3862. RNAcentral describes it as "tRNA-Thr". It matches the Rfam family "tRNA". Rfam says of the family: Transfer RNA (tRNA) molecules are approximately 80 nucleotides in length. Their secondary structure includes four short double-helical elements and three loops (D, anti-codon, and T loops). The record is from RNAcentral. Lineage: Bacteria; Pseudomonadati; Pseudomonadota; Alphaproteobacteria; Hyphomicrobiales; Phyllobacteriaceae.